Molecule: long non-coding RNA, 1282 nt
Filed under: Olea europaea subsp. europaea
Lineage: Eukaryota; Viridiplantae; Streptophyta; Magnoliopsida; Lamiales; Oleaceae
Source: RNAcentral
CCCAAAUCUAAAAUUCCAAAUCAGGAUCCCCAUUUUUCCCAGGGCUUGCUCGACUGCACGUGACUCUUCAAUCCUAGGCGCAGGCAAAGGUUCCUCGAGAAGAAGGUGAGUAGUCGAGUUUGCCCUCUUGCUUUGCGAACAUGUAGUUAUUUUUCUGGUUCCUGGAAGAAAAAUGGAAUAUGGUAAAGCAGAAUCCAGAUCAGUGUUAAUUUUAAAUUUUAGAUUCCUCCUUCCAGUUUAUUUUCUGUGAAUGCGUUGCUAAGAACGAAAAGAAUAAAAUAUUAGUGAACAGAGAGAAGUUUGCAAUUCUAAUAUGUUGUGGAAAGCAGUUUACUGGAAAUAUGGUUGCUUGAGGAAUUAGAUGAAAUAGAGAUUCUCAAAUGGGCAAAAAAUAAAAACAAAAUAAUUUGAACUCGCAACAGUUAGUUAUAUUGAUAAACAUCUAUCUUAAACAUUAAAAUUAGAAAAAUCCAUUGAAGUUUCUGCCUUCUGUUCACUAGCCUUAUAAUAUUUUAGUUAGAAACAAAUAAUCUAGGCAUGUAACCUUAACAGUUUAACUUAUUCAUGCAGUCGAGAUGUACUUACAUUGAAAAUUUUAGGGUCAUUUUACCAAGUUGGUCUCAUGCAAACUGCUACUGAUUGUUUCUUACUUAUUUCCACCAUAAGUUUGGCUUAUCAGCUUAUGCAAUACAUGGUUAAUUGGUUAUUGGACAUUGGUUAACAUGUGGCCGUAUAUUUUAAAUUAGCAAUAGGUUGCAUAAUACGCCAUUGAAUUUUGUAUUUACGCUGAUUUCGCCGAGGCCUAAUUUAUGGAAUUUGCCUAGGGCCCCGACAAUCACAGGACCGGCCCUGAAAGUACCUUACUCAUUUGAAGAUGAAGGAGAGGAUUCUCAUGAUGACACUUUCAUGGUCAUAUGAUCCGUCAAAUGUCUUCGUAUGCUGUGAUGUUCCUUGGAUUCUCCUUCACUGUUCUAUCUACCUUCCAAUUCAUGUAAUAGAUUCACGAGUCUGCAAUCGAAAUCCCGCACAUAGAAGAAUUCUUGAUUAUAUGGAGAAGAGAUUAAAGAUUACUUUUCAAGAAAAGGGCAAAAAUAAUACAACUGAUCUUGAUCCGAGCAUGUAUUUAUUGGAUAAAAAAGGCAUCAAAACACGGUGCAGAUAAAUGAGCAUAGAGAUAAUAAGUAACCACAAUUAAGCAUUUGUUUGUCAAUCAUUCUAUUACAUUCUACUACAUUAUUUUUUCUACAGUACUCAUUUUCAACUACACAUUGCUCAUUAAAAU